GUGGAUUAGAUACCCGGGUAGUCCACGCCCUAAACGUUGAUUACUCGUUGUUGGCGAUAUACAGUCAGCGACCAAGCUAAAGCGUUAAGUAAUCCACCUGGGAAGUACGACCGCAAGGUUGAAACUCAAAGGAAUUGACGGGGGCCCGCACAAGUGGAGGAGCAUGUGGUUUAAUUCGAUGAUACGCGAGGAACCUUACCUGGGCUUGAAAGUUAGUGACGUUCUGUGAAAGCAGAAUUCCCUUCGGGGCACAAAACUAGGUGCUGCACGGCCGUCGACAGCU
RNAcentral lists this ribosomal RNA (283 nucleotides) under uncultured bacterium. RNAcentral's name for it is "partial 16S ribosomal RNA". It matches the Rfam family "Bacterial small subunit ribosomal RNA", at positions 773 to 1060 of the family's 1533-position model. The record is from RNAcentral.